UUCGGGACGCCGGCGAGUGGCGAACGGGUGAGUAACACGUGGAGACCUGCCCUGGGGUGGGGGAUAACAACUGGAAACGGUUGCUAAUACCGCAUACGCCUUACGAGGGAAAGAUUCAUUGCCCCUGGAGGGUUCCGCGUCGGAUUAGCUUGUUGGUGGGGUAACGGCCUACCAAGGCGACGAUCCGUAGCUGGUCUUAGAGGAUGAUCAGCCACACUGGAACUGAGACACGGUCCAGACUCCUACGGGAGGCAGCAGUGGGGAAUAUUGCGCAAUGGGGGCAACCCUGACGCAGCGAUGCCGCGUGGGUGAAUAAGGCCUUAGGGUUGUAAAGCCCUUUCAGUGGGAACGAUGAUGACGGUACCCACAGAAGAAGCCCCGGCUAACUCCGUGCCAGCAGCCGCGGUAAUACGGAGGGGGCGAGCGUUGUUCGGAAUUAUUGGGCGUAAAGAGCGCGUAGGCGGCUUGUCAAG
This 473-nucleotide ribosomal RNA is filed under the name uncultured Magnetococcus sp. RNAcentral's name for it is "bacterial SSU rRNA". It matches the Rfam family "Bacterial small subunit ribosomal RNA", at positions 79 to 587 of the family's 1533-position model. Lineage: Bacteria; Pseudomonadati; Pseudomonadota; Magnetococcia; Magnetococcales; Magnetococcaceae. The record is from RNAcentral.